This is a long non-coding RNA of Erpetoichthys calabaricus (reedfish), 760 nucleotides long. RefSeq lists it as uncharacterized. The transcript is spliced from 4 exons. NCBI's taxonomy places the organism in Eukaryota, Metazoa, Chordata, Cladistia, Polypteriformes, Polypteridae. The record is from RefSeq and is a predicted model, not a curated record.
AAGCAUCCACUUGCAGAGCCACAGCACCAUACGUCACCGCAGUUUCAGACCCGCAGUUGUAGACCCGCAGUUUUAGACCCGGAAGUGACGUUACCAUUUCUAGGCAAGCCGAAAACAACACCUCCAUUUAUCGAACACAAGUCUUGGUUUUUAGCACGAGCGCAGCAUUUUCGAGCACAAACAAAAUAUGACAGAAAACAGCACGUAACAAGACAAAACGAAUAUCUUCAGGCACAUGGAUACUAAUUAAAAACAAGGUUAGUUUAUAGGGAUGUCAUUGAGAGGACUACAAGUAAUGGUCAUUGUUUUGUAACUUGCAGUAGGUGAUAUGAAUCCAUUUCAAUUUCGGAAUCUUCCACAGCAGUUGGUUGGGUGAGUGGAUUGUGGAGUAUUCAUGUUGAUGUGUGAUUUACCCUUGAUCAGGAGGUGCUGGUGCUUUAUUCUAUUGGAGAAUUUUGCUGUUGGAAGUUAUCUCUUUCUCUGUGGCUAACGUGUGAAUAUUUCGUACAGGACAAAGGCGUUCACUAAAGGAACCACUAAUAAAAAAGGACCUCCACACUGCAGUAAAAUGGUUGCGCCAACAUAGACGGUUGUUCAGAGGUGCCGUGUCUGAGCCCCAUUUUCUGGAGAUGGAGGAGGAGGACCAAAGCCGAGCUCUCCAGGACAUCAUCGAUGCAGUCGAAACUGAAGAUUUAAUUUUGGCAAAAGAACCCUUUGUAUUUAUUUUUCAGUUUAGGGAUGAUAUGGAACUUUUCACUCA